UGCUGCUCUGUUUGGUCUGCUUUUAAAAGAUACAGAAUUUGCAGCUCCAGCGAGUAUACCCAGGUGGAGACUUUGGUCACAGCGUUGUUUCCUUUACCCUUGGAUUGAGUCACAAUGCAUCCUCCAAUUGCUCCUGUUCCUGAAAUUGCUGUUGAUUUUACUAAUGAGGAGCUCUUUAUCUCUUUGGAGAAAAUGAUGGGUGGAUAUCCUCCUCCAGCCAACGUGAUUACUGAUGUCAAUCCAUACAACUNNNNAUACAACUAUGCACCAUCAAAUUUACCAGCUGGAAUUUGGUACUUGAUUCGCUCCAAGGAGAAGGGGGCUAUGGAAGUUGGAUCCUGGAAGGUCAAAGGGGAAGCCUGUAAACUAUUUUGGAACUCUUCCAUCACUGGUUGGAGGACCACCCUUGAAUAUUUUGAGGGCCAAGUGCCUCAUGAGCGUAAAACUGAUUGGGUGAUGCAAGAGUACUGGAUAAUGGGGCCAGUUGAAAACAGCAAGGUGAAGGAAGCCAGUUCACUAUGCAGAGUCUUUCUUAGUGGUGAACAAGGUCCAGAUCAUAAAAAGCAGCAGAAAAAGUCUAGCCUCCAUAUUGCAUGUGAAAUCCUCAUUCACUCAACACAGGCAACUGUUAAAAAGGCUCAUGUUGAUGCUAGCAGUGGUUCCACAAGCAGACCUGAGGUGGAUGGACAUGCUGAAACAGGAAAUUUGGCUGUGGCAGGAGAACCUCCAUUUAAUCUAGUAGAAAACCCACCAGAAAUUGACUAUAUUUCCAGAGGUGACUUCUUGGAACUGCUGGAUCUUGAUAAUCCAGCAUCAUCUUCUUCAAGUUCAGAUGAUUCAAGUUGCUUGACCUCAUCAUCAGAUGAAUGUUUUGACUCGUUGGCUUUGCUGCAACAACUAGAUUCUGAAAUUAACCAACACUCCCUACAGAAGAAUGAAAGUUGUAAGCUCAGCGUCUCUGCAUCUUGCAGACCAAAUGAGGUGGUUAUGGCUCCAGCAUCUCCAGCAGGAUCUUUUGUUAGAGUUGAAGAAAACAAGCCACCUACUGAAGAAAUUCUUGGAACUAAUCCAUCACUUCUACCCAUUUUGGCUAAUGGCUCUAAAGAUCUAGACAACAGAGUUUUACAGCAUGCAGUCAGAAGCCACAAUGCAGGUUACAUGGAUGAAGGUCCAUCAAAUUCUCAUGAUGUAGGUGCAUCUUCCAGUCGCUUGGGUCCAUCUCGAGAUGGAGAAAGGAAGGUUGCUAAGGUCAGGACGAAGAAACAUAAGAAGUAUCUAUGCUUCCUCUUCUAAUUUGACGCCUAUAGCUUCAUAAUCAUAGCUUGUGU
This 1328-nucleotide unclassified non-coding RNA is filed under the name Hevea brasiliensis (rubber tree). Lineage: Eukaryota; Viridiplantae; Streptophyta; Magnoliopsida; Malpighiales; Euphorbiaceae. The record is from RNAcentral.